AACAAUACUGGAUGCAUCGUAGUAGAGUAUAGAAGUUAAU
RNAcentral lists this non-coding RNA (40 nucleotides) under Trypanosoma brucei brucei. Lineage: Eukaryota; Euglenozoa; Kinetoplastea; Trypanosomatida; Trypanosomatidae. The record is from RNAcentral.